This 1408-nucleotide ribosomal RNA is filed under the name Salmonella enterica subsp. enterica serovar Typhimurium. RNAcentral describes it as "partial 23S ribosomal RNA". It matches the Rfam family "Bacterial large subunit ribosomal RNA", at positions 1544 to 2925 of the family's 2925-position model. The record is from RNAcentral. Lineage: Bacteria; Pseudomonadati; Pseudomonadota; Gammaproteobacteria; Enterobacterales; Enterobacteriaceae.
UUCACUUUAACACUGAGGCGUGAUGACGAGGCACUACGGUGCUGAAGCAACAAAUGCCCUGCUUCCAGGAAAAGCCUCUAAGCAUCAGGUAACAUCAAAUCGUACCCCAAACCGACACAGGUGGUCAGGUAGAGAAUACCAAGGCGCUUGAGAGAACUCGGGUGAAGGAACUAGGCAAAAUGGUGCCGUAACUUCGGGAGAAGGCACGCUGACACGUAGGUGAAGUGAUUUACUCACGGAGCUGAAGUCAGUCGAAGAUACCAGCUGGCUGCAACUGUUUAUUAAAAACACAGCACUGUGCAAACACGAAAGUGGACGUAUACGGUGUGACGCCUGCCCGGUGCCGGAAGGUUAAUUGAUGGGGUCAGCGCAAGCGAAGCUCCUGAUCGAAGCCCCGGUAAACGGCGGCCGUAACUAUAACGGUCCUAAGGUAGCGAAAUUCCUUGUCGGGUAAGUUCCGACCUGCACGAAUGGCGUAAUGAUGGCCAGGCUGUCUCCACCCGAGACUCAGUGAAAUUGAACUCGCUGUGAAGAUGCAGUGUACCCGCGGCAAGACGGAAAGACCCCGUGAACCUUUACUAUAGCUUGACACUGAACAUUGAGCCUUGAUGUGUAGGAUAGGUGGGAGGCUUUGAAGUGUGGACGCCAGUCUGCAUGGAGCCGACCUUGAAAUACCACCCUUUAAUGUUUGAUGUUCUAACGUGGACCCGUAAUCCGGGUUGCGGACAGUGUCUGGUGGGUAGUUUGACUGGGGCGGUCUCCUCCUAAAGAGUAACGGAGGAGCACGAAGGUUGGCUAAUCCUGGUCGGACAUCAGGAGGUUAGUGCAAUGGCAUAAGCCAGCUUGACUGCGAGCGUGACGGCGCGAGCAGGUGCGAAAGCAGGUCAUAGUGAUCCGGUGGUUCUGAAUGGAAGGGCCAUCGCUCAACGGAUAAAAGGUACUCCGGGGAUAACAGGCUGAUACCGCCCAAGAGUUCAUAUCGACGGCGGUGUUUGGCACCUCGAUGUCGGCUCAUCACAUCCUGGGGCUGAAGUAGGUCCCAAGGGUAUGGCUGUUCGCCAUUUAAAGUGGUACGCGAGCUGGGUUUAGAACGUCGUGAGACAGUUCGGUCCCUAUCUGCCGUGGGCGCUGGAGAACUGAGGGGGGCUGCUCCUAGUACGAGAGGACCGGAGUGGACGCAUCACUGGUGUUCGGGUUGUCAUGCCAAUGGCACUGCCCGGUAGCUAAAUGCGGAAGAGAUAAGUGCUGAAAGCAUCUAAGCACGAAACUUGCCCCGAGAUGAGUUCUCCCUGAGACUUAGAGUCUCCUGAAGGAACGUUGAAGACGACGACGUUGAUAGGCCGGGUGUGUAAGCGCAGCGAUGCGUUGAGCUAACCGGUACUAAUGAACCGUGAGGCUUAACCUUACA